This 246-nucleotide long non-coding RNA is filed under the name Cairina moschata (Muscovy duck). RNAcentral's name for it is "domestica (muscovy Duck (domestic type)) lncRNA (ENSCMMG00000002658.1)". Lineage: Eukaryota; Metazoa; Chordata; Aves; Anseriformes; Anatidae. The record is from RNAcentral.
GGCAGACCUGAUGGUGUUGAAGGUCAUGCAACUUUGCAGUCUCUCUUAUAAAGUUGGGGUGCUGCCAAGACCGGAGUCACAGCUAGUGUCCUCCCUCCAGUAGCCCUUCUGUUCCGACGACUGAGUUGCUGUUGAACAAUGUUUGUGACACUGUUUCCACUUGUGGUUACUAUUUGGUGAGCAAAGAUAAUUUCUAUUUCUUGCUACUUGAAGCUUAGGAUUGCCUCCUGGCCACCUUUCUACUCA